This 252-nucleotide ribosomal RNA is filed under the name uncultured bacterium. RNAcentral's name for it is "partial 16S ribosomal RNA". It matches the Rfam family "Bacterial small subunit ribosomal RNA", at positions 524 to 776 of the family's 1533-position model. The record is from RNAcentral.
UACGUAGGGUGCAAGCGUUAAUCGGAAUUACUGGGCGUAAAGCGUGCGCAGGCGGUGAUGUAAGACAGGUGUGAAAUCCCCGGGCUUAACCUGGGAACUGCAUUGUGACUGCAUCGCUGGAGUGCGGCAGAGGGGGAUGGAAUUCCGCGUGUAGCAGUGAAAUGCGUAGAUAUGCGGAGGAACACCGAUGGCGAAGGCAAUCCCCUGGGCCUGCACUGACGCUCAUGCACGAAAGCGUGGGGAGCAAACAGG